RNAcentral lists this transfer RNA (73 nucleotides) under Danio rerio (zebrafish). It matches the Rfam family "tRNA". Rfam says of the family: Transfer RNA (tRNA) molecules are approximately 80 nucleotides in length. Their secondary structure includes four short double-helical elements and three loops (D, anti-codon, and T loops). Further hydrogen bonds mediate the characteristic L-shaped molecular structure. tRNAs have two regions of fundamental functional importance: the anti-codon, which is responsible for specific mRNA codon recognition, and the 3' end, to which the tRNAs corresponding amino acid is attached (by aminoacyl-tRNA synthetases). tRNAs cope with the degeneracy of the genetic code in two manners: having more than one tRNA (with a specific anti-codon) for a particular amino acid; and 'wobble' base-pairing, i.e. permitting non-standard base-pairing at the 3rd anti-codon position. The record is from Rfam by way of RNAcentral. Lineage: Eukaryota; Metazoa; Chordata; Actinopteri; Cypriniformes; Danionidae.
AGCACAGUGGCUCAGUGGUUAGCACUGUCGCCUCACAGCAAGAAGGUUGCUGGUUCGAGUCCUGCCUGGGCUA